GUGAGGAAUAUUGGUCAAUGGGCGAGAGCCUGAACCAGCCAAGUCGCGUGAAGGAAGAAGGAUCUAUGGUUCGUAAACUUCUUUUGCAGGGGAAUAAAGUGCAGGACGUGUUCUGUUUUGUAUGUACCCUGAGAAUAAGGAUCGGCUAACUCCGUGCCAGCAGCCGCGGUAAUACGGAGGAUCCGAGCGUUAUCCGGAUUUAUUGGGUUUAAAGGGUGCGUAGGUGGUUUGAUAAGUCAGCGGUGAAAGUUUGCAGCUUAACUGUAAAAAUGCCGUUGAAACUGUCGGACUUGAGUGUAAAUGAGGUAGGCGGAAUGCGUGGUGUAGCGGUGAAAUGCAUAGAUAUCACGCAGAACUCCGAUUGCGAAGGCAGCUUACUAAGCUACAACUGACACUGAAGCACGAAAGCGUGGGGAUCAAACAGGAUUAGAAACCCCGGUAGUCC
RNAcentral lists this ribosomal RNA (445 nucleotides) under uncultured bacterium. Its description in RNAcentral is "partial 16S ribosomal RNA". It matches the Rfam family "Bacterial small subunit ribosomal RNA", at positions 354 to 796 of the family's 1533-position model. The record is from RNAcentral.